UACGGGGGGGGCAAGCGUUGUUCGGAAUUACUGGGCGUAAAGGGCUCGUAGGUGGCCAACUAAGUCAGACGUGAAAUCCCUCGGCUUAACCGGGGAACUGCGUCUGAUACUGGAUGGCUUGAGUUUGGGAGAGGGAUGCGGAAUUCCAGGUGUAGCGGUGAAAUGCGUAGAUAUCUGGAGGAACACCGGUGGCGAAGGCGGCGUUCUGGACUGCUACUGACACUGAGGAACGUAAGCCAGGGGAGCAAACGGG
RNAcentral lists this ribosomal RNA (253 nucleotides) under uncultured bacterium. Its description in RNAcentral is "partial 16S ribosomal RNA". It matches the Rfam family "Bacterial small subunit ribosomal RNA", at positions 524 to 776 of the family's 1533-position model. The record is from RNAcentral.